This 542-nucleotide transfer RNA is filed under the name uncultured Prochlorococcus sp. Its description in RNAcentral is "16S-23S ribosomal RNA intergenic spacer". The stretch from base 126 to 199 matches the Rfam family "tRNA". Lineage: Bacteria; Bacillati; Cyanobacteriota; Cyanophyceae; Synechococcales; Prochlorococcaceae. The record is from RNAcentral.
CAGGGAGACAACAAAAUGUUUAAUAUUAUUAUUUUGUCACCUUAGGUCGAUCGGUAUCUCACAUUCUUAAUUCGUUGAGAAUUUCAUUUCCUAAGUUUUUCUAGGUCACACCCAUUAUUUUUCCUGGGCCAUUAGCUCAGGUGGUUAGAGCGCACCCCUGAUAAGGGUGAGGUCCCUGGUUCAAGUCCAGGAUGGCCCAUAUCUCUAUGUUGGGGUAUAGCUCAGUUGGUAGAGCGCCUGCUUUGCAAGCAGGAUGUCAGCGGUUCGAGUCCGCUUACCUCCACUGAUUACCACCUCUUCCAUAACCGAUAGAAAGGAAAUGUUUUGAGUUGUGAUCAUUAUUCUGAACGAAUCUAGCUUCCUAAUGAAAUCAUUAAGAUGCUGGACUCAUUGAAUUAAUUUCAUUGUUUUCAGAGAACCUUGACAACUGCAUAGAUUAUUUUUAAAGACAAUAAGCAUCUUUAAUGAUGCAGAUUUAUUAUUUGUGCGAAUGCAUUAAUAACAAUUCUAUUAAGCUGAUGCUUCAAUUUUUGAAGUUAUUG